This 71-nucleotide transfer RNA is filed under the name Loxodonta africana (African savanna elephant). It matches the Rfam family "tRNA". Rfam says of the family: Transfer RNA (tRNA) molecules are approximately 80 nucleotides in length. Their secondary structure includes four short double-helical elements and three loops (D, anti-codon, and T loops). Further hydrogen bonds mediate the characteristic L-shaped molecular structure. tRNAs have two regions of fundamental functional importance: the anti-codon, which is responsible for specific mRNA codon recognition, and the 3' end, to which the tRNAs corresponding amino acid is attached (by aminoacyl-tRNA synthetases). tRNAs cope with the degeneracy of the genetic code in two manners: having more than one tRNA (with a specific anti-codon) for a particular amino acid; and 'wobble' base-pairing, i.e. permitting non-standard base-pairing at the 3rd anti-codon position. Lineage: Eukaryota; Metazoa; Chordata; Mammalia; Proboscidea; Elephantidae. The record is from Rfam by way of RNAcentral.
GUAGUGGUGGUUAAGUGGUAGAAUUCUCACAUUCCAUAUGGGAGGCCUAAGUUCAAUUCCCAGCCAAUGCA